AUACCACUUGGAAACAGGUGCUAAUACCGGAUAAGAAAGCGGAUCGCAUGAUCAGCUUUUAAAAGGCGGCGUAAGCUGUCGCUAUGGGAUGGCCCCGCGGUGCAUUAGCUAGUUGGUAAGGUAAAGGCUUACCAAGGCGAUGAUGCAUAGCCGAGUUGAGAGACUGAUCGGCCACAUUGGGACUGAGACACGGCCCAAACUCCUACGGGAGGCAGCAGUC
RNAcentral lists this ribosomal RNA (220 nucleotides) under uncultured Lactobacillus sp. RNAcentral's name for it is "partial 16S ribosomal RNA". It matches the Rfam family "Bacterial small subunit ribosomal RNA", at positions 143 to 355 of the family's 1533-position model. Lineage: Bacteria; Bacillati; Bacillota; Bacilli; Lactobacillales; Lactobacillaceae. The record is from RNAcentral.